This 304-nucleotide ribosomal RNA is filed under the name uncultured bacterium. RNAcentral describes it as "partial 16S ribosomal RNA". It matches the Rfam family "Bacterial small subunit ribosomal RNA", at positions 509 to 807 of the family's 1533-position model. The record is from RNAcentral.
CAGCAGUCGCCGCGGGAAUACAGAGGGUGCGAGCGUUAAUCGGAUUUACUGGGCGUAAAGCGUGCGUAGGCGGCUAAUUGAGUCGGAUGUGAAAUCCCCGAGCUUAACUUGGGAAUUGCAUUCGAUACUGGUUAGCUAGAGUGUGGGAGAGGAUGGUAGAAUUCCAGGUGUAGCGGUGAAAUGCGUAGAGAUCUGGAGGAAUUCCGAUGGCGAAGGCAGCCAUCUGGCCUAACACUGACGCUGAGGUACGAAAGCAUGGGGAGCAAACAGGAUUAGAUACCCCUGUAGUCCCUGUCUCUUAUAC